Cricetulus griseus (Chinese hamster) is the source of this 3177-nucleotide non-coding RNA. NCBI's taxonomy places the organism in Eukaryota, Metazoa, Chordata, Mammalia, Rodentia, Cricetidae. The record is from RefSeq and is a predicted model, not a curated record.
GGUUUCAUCUGCCCUCCUGUCCCUUUUCAGAACUAGACUCCUCCGUGCUCUUGGCGACUAUAUAUGGCUAGGAGAUUUGGGGCCUGCAUUCUACCUACUAUUACAGUGUCGGUCUAGAACACCCUAAUUAGCUUGUGGCCUUUAGGGAAACCCCUUUUUCUGGAAAUUCAACCUCAUUUCAUUUCUUAGUCUAAAAUUGUGGCGCUCCCAAGAUUUACCUAUUUAAAAUGGAUAUGGGAUGGGGGAGUUCUAGUUUUAAAAGGUCAAAUCAUCUUUUUAGCAGCAGUUUUGGGCUUUUUCUUGCACUCUCGGAGCAUGUAAGUUAACACUAGUCAUAAGUGCUAAAAGGAAUUUUGACAGAUCGUUUUGUUUCCUUUUCCUCCCAGAGUUUGCACUUUGCUCUUUAAGCAUAAAAGCUCAGUAGAGAAAGCUGGUUGGUGGUGAAAAGAAAUGUGAGCCCUGCUUUGCAAUAUGCCCGAGCACACUGUGUUCUUGGCUUUCUGGAAAUGGGAGAAGUGGGGGACAUAUUAUUUUGGGUGAAUCAUGCCAUCUAAAAAGACACAACCUGAAAAGAGUGAUUAUAUCUUUACACGUGUGUUUUAGAACUGUUUGUUUGGGUCUGUUUGAAACUCAUUCUUUUCAGCCAAGUAACAGAAUGCCUGGCUAGGGAUGGGCAUCCAUCGCGUGCUCCUGGCCUCACCCUGAAUGGGGAGGCAGUAACCUGGCUGGGGGCAGUCACAAAGCCUGAAUCCCCUAGUAAAGGAAACUUUGAGGGACUUAGCAGAAACAGCUCCAUGUUUCCCAAGACUAUACAGGAGAGUCCUCUGUGGCUUAAGUCCCUUGUAAAUCAGUAAGUACAAAAUAUAUAUAUAACCAAUUCCUUCCAUAAAAUACCUUGUACCAAAGAAGUCAAGUUGGCUGUAAACAGAUAUGAUAGUGGAACUUCCUUGGAUCUAGGGGAAGGUUGUCUACCUUGGAACCAAUUUACACAGUCCUGAAUCUCUUACAAUAUAGUCCCUUUACAUACCCUACCGAAUUCUUUCAUUUGAGGUUUGGAAAGAUUUUGUUUGUUUCAUGUAUCUUCUACUUUAAAUACUUUAAGGUUGCUGGUUUCUAUGUUGUGGGUGCAGGGAAGCAAGAACAGUCCCAAAGAAAUCAUAAAUUGCAUUAUUAUAGAUCUAUAUCCAGAAUUGACCUAUCUCUUUGUGGUUGUAAUAAUUGCUAUGUGUUUAGAGCCUAGAUUUUACGGAGUCAGUUUCUACAGAAUAUUUAUGCCCUGAAAACUUUGCCAAUGCAAACUUUUUAAUGGGAUCUCAAAUUACAUGGAAGUCAUUGUAGUCUGUUGGUUGGUUGUCUGUCUGCUUUAGGCAGCACCAUGAGCAGCAGACACUGAAGCCUGGGUGUUCACUUCUAUACAGUGUUCUGUCACAGAAGCAUGGUACAGUGAAGUUUGAGUUAGCAGGGUGCCUUUUCAAUAUUUUGGAAAGAAUUGUGCAAUACUAAAUCCACAACUAAAACAGCAAGAAACCACAAGUUCCAGAAUUGAAAGAGAACAUGCCUUUGUGGUUUAAAUGUUGAACUUCCUCAAAAGAGGGAGAGCAUAGGCCUUUUUAUUAGCAUACAAAGAAUUAGGUUUCAUGACAGCAUUUUUCAAACAAAAUUUUUGCUGUUGUUUCUCUUCACCCCACCCCCACCCCCAGUCCCCUUCCUUUCCUGUGUCCUUUGACCCCUGUAGCCUCCUUUCUGCUUUUCUGUUACAUCUGACCUCUUGACCUUUCCCCUUUCUCAAUAGUUCUUGUUCCCCUCUUGUAGCCUCCUACCUAGUUUCAUAGUCUACACCCACUCUAACACAUACCUCCAUUUACCUACAUACAAACUCCAGAAUUUAGAAUCUGCAUAUAGGAGAGAACAUGAGAAUUUGGGGAGGGGGUUGUUGUUGUAGUUGUUGCUGUUGGGGGGGUUGUUUUGUUUUUGUUUCUAUCUUUCUGAGUCCCGGUCACCUUACUUUAAUAUGAUUCUUUGUGGAUGCAUCUAUUUUCUUGCAAAUUUCAUAAUUGUAUUUUUCUUUAUGGUUAAGUAAAAUCCCACUGGAUAUAUGUGCCACGUUCUCAUUCUCCAUUCUUCUAUUGGUGGGCUUCUGGGCUGGUUCCAUUUCCUUCUUGUGAAUAAUGUAGCAACAAACAUGGUUAUGCAGAUAGCUCUGUAGUUGGAUAUAGAAUCCUUUGGGCAUAUGCCUAGGACUGAUGUGGUAGUUCUAUGGUAUGGUGUGGUAUGGUAUGGUAUUGUAUAGUAGUUUAUUUUAAUUCCUUUUAGACAGCGCCAUACUGGUUUCCAUAACAUAUAUUGGGUUUACACUCCCAAUACUGAAUAAGGGUUCCUCUUUCCCCAUAUCCCUGCCAGCAUUUAUUGUCAUUUUUUCCCCCUUGAUCAUAGCCAUUCCUAUGGGAGUGGAAUGAAAUCCCAAAGUGGAUUUAAUUUCCGUUUUGAAGGGAAAGCUUCUAAAGGAAUAUUUUAAAUCAUUGAUGGCCAUGGUGCUGUAGUUUGAACUUGAACUCUAAGUGACUAUGUGGAGCCACACUGGUGACUACUUGCCUCAUUUCCUUAUUUUUAACUUGGGUCUGGUGAAUCUGGGUAAUACAGUCUUCAGCAGAAGUUCAAAAAUCUUCCUCCUCCAUCAAGAAGAGUCACUGGUUUCUCACUCAGCCUGCAGUGAACACAUACUUACCAAGUGCCCUAAUACACAAGCACCACACAGGAAACAAUGGGAUCUGUAGUAGUCUCACUUCCUCACACCAGUACUGUAAAGCAAGAAAGAGAAGUGUCUGGAGAAGAGGAACCAGGAAGGGCUUUCUGAAGGGUGUUCCGAGUUCUCUGUGACUUCUUCAUACCUCUUGGGUGUCCAGCAGAGGCAGAAGAACAGCCCCAAGUGCUCAACACAACGCCCAAGAGAUUUCCUGGGAUUGUCAUACUCAGUAGAUCGUAAGGCCGACCCGCUGCUUCCAGCCAGGUGCCAUAUCACUCCGAUGGACCUGAGUUGUUCGGAGUAUUGGGACUUUGUUGGAACCCAGCCCCCAUGAGCUAUGUUGUUUUCCAGCAUAACCACAGGUAUCUCCUGUUUUCCUGACCUCACCCCACUAGGAUCAAUAUCCUGUUGUGAACCCUCUGACCUGGGGUUUU